CAGUAACAACAGCAACAACAACCAAAAGAUCACUUUUAGUUUCCAGUUUCACUAAAAUACCUUUUCUGCUCUCUAUGUCCAUCCUGUGCCCUUCAAUAUGUAGUUAAUUAUAUCUUUUGCUACUGAAAGAUGCCACGUUGGUACAGAUUCACAGAAUUGAGUUUUAGAUCAUCUAAAUCUAUCAGACUCCUGGAGAUGCCUGGAUUCUGCAAGUUGUUUAAGAGAGAAUUGCUGUGGUCAACCAACCUCUCCCUAAUCCAAAAGGAUGAGAAAGAAAGUUUUCCGUUUUUGUUAUGUUACAGAAUAUUCUAGUGAUGCUGCAUGACUGCGAAACAUACAAGCAAAGCCAGAAGAAAUGCACAAGGAAUCAGAGACAGUCAAGGAAGGAGACCAAACUAUUAAUGGACAGUUUCAAGGCCAAACAAAAUCAUAAGCUCUUCAGGACAAGAAACCAUUCUUUUGUUAGAAUAUAUUUAUGCUGUAAUUAUGUAGUUUAGGUAUUCUAUAUGUUCAGCUUCAGUAUAUCACAUAUCCUUUCUGUAACUGUAUUUCUAUUACAUCAAUAUAUAACAUCUCUUAAAUUGGGUCUCUCAUCCAUGAAUAGAAAUUCAAAAGCUUUCAACUAUACAGCAGAUAGGCUUAGAGAAAAUGAGAGAAGAGGGAGAAAAAUGCAUCCUGCAUACACUAGCUGACAAAUUUCUAAAUUAUACAAUGUUUGAAUUUAUCCCUAUCUAAAGACUGUUCAGUUUACGAUAGUUAUGAAAUUGAUUUGAAAAUAUUUUGUGCUAUCAUUUAAGCUCAUCUAAAGAAACGAACUGUUGAAUGUCUUUGUUGCUCCAGAAUCUACUGGAUUUCUAGGGAUACUUCAUAAAGACAUUGAAAAGUGCGUGUGGUGCAGCUCAACAUUUAAGAAGUUCUAUGCGGACCUGUAGAUAUCCUGUAUGUCAAAGAAGAACUCCAGAGAUCUAAGUGCAUUGUAACCCAAAACAGCAAUGAGUGAGCUAAAAAUGAGUAAAGAGUGACACAUUUAAUUUGAAGCCCUGUUGUGCAGUGCCACUGAACCAACUGCUGCAAACAACAGGUCUGGCACUUGGGUCCUUCAGAUAUCCAAGAUCUGCCUACCUACUCAAUGAGGCCCAAGACAUGUUCAAAUCAGAGAAAAAUGUGACAUUUAAACAUAUGAAUGGCAUAAUAAAACCUGCUAUUGCACCACUAGGAUGCUUGUUUUCUGUUACUAAUAACCAGCUCAACCUGUAUAUUUGUAGAGUUACAUGCCCUCCUAGAUCUUAAUAUAACUUGUCCCAUUCAGAUAGGAAUCAGCCAGUUGCUUUUUUCAUUAUUCUCUCCUGAAACAAAACUUCACUGCAGAGACAUGAACGUUAUAGUCUCAAGGUUAGUAUAAACAUGCGAAGUCAGACUUCAGUCAACUGACCCAAUGGGAAAUCGCUAUUGGGAUAGUUCUCUCUCUGGAAGACGGAUCAGGAAAUACUGUACCCUUGUUCUGCUCUUUAUUCUUCUCUAAGGAUUCUGUUCACUGCUCCUAAAGAAAAUAUAUUGAGCUAUAUGGAUAAAGGGUACUGAAAGCACAUCAACAGUCUUCUCUCUUUAAUAACUUUGUUUUCUUGCUAUACAGUAGAAUAGCAUAAAUGGUUCUCUUUUAAAAAUCUUACUAUCUUAAAGUGCAUCUGUAUGUUUUGGGAAAAGAAUAAACCUUGAGACAACAAGGACUGCUUCUGCACAUUGUGUUGCACAUUUAAUGGGUCCUGAAAUUACGCCUUGAAAUCAGCUGGUUCAGCAAAUGAGCUGAAAAAACUUGAAUGCAGUUAAACAUGGAGAUGUGGGAAAAAGGUAAGGUAAAAGAGGGGAGGAAUAGACAUCUGAGGCAGAAAGAAGGAGGACUGUAGAAAUAAGAGAAGGUAGGGUGGGAAAACAGCCUUAUUAGGAAAAAAAAGGAGGAAGAAAGGCCUAAGAGAAUGUGAAACAUCUAUUUAUGAGUGUAACAAAGAAGUAAAUAAAUACAAAGGGAGAAAAAAUGCACAUGUAGAGACACAAAGUGCAGGGACAGACUAAAAGAUGCAUG
This is a long non-coding RNA of Gallus gallus (chicken), 2080 nucleotides long. The record is from Ensembl. NCBI's taxonomy places the organism in Eukaryota, Metazoa, Chordata, Aves, Galliformes, Phasianidae.